GAUGAACGCUAGCGGCAGGCUUAAUACAUGCAAGUCGAGGGGCAGCAUGAGUGUAGCAAUACAUUUGAUGGCGACCGGCAAACGGGUGCGGAACACGUACACAACUUUCCUAUAAGUGGGGAAUAGCCCAGAGAAAUUUGGAUUAAUACCCCGUAACAUAAUGAUGUGGCAUCACAUUAUUAUUAUAGCUUCGGCGCUUAUUGAUGGGUGCGCGGCUGAUUAGAUAGUUGGCGGGGUAACGGCCCACCAAGUCUACGAUCAGUAGCUGAUGUGAGAGCAUGAUCAGCCACACGGGCACUGAGACACGGGCCCGACUCCUACGGGAGGCAGCAGUAAGGAAUAUUGGUCAAUGGACGCAAGUCUGAACCAGCCAUGCCGCGUGAAGGAUGAAGGUCCUCUGGAUUGUAAACUUCUUUAUCUGGGACAAAAAGGGAAUUCUUUCUCACUUGACGGUACCAGAGGAAUAAGCACCGGCUAACUCCGUG
Molecule: ribosomal RNA, 485 nt
Filed under: uncultured bacterium
Lineage: Bacteria
Description: bacterial SSU rRNA
Rfam family: Bacterial small subunit ribosomal RNA
Source: RNAcentral